GAUGAACGCUAGCUACAGGCUUAACACAUGCAAGUCGAGGGGUAACGAGAGGAAAGCUUGCUUUCCUUGUUGACGACCGGCGCACGGGUGAGUAACGCGUAUCCAACCUGCCCCCAACUAGGGAAUAACCUUGCGAAAGUAAGACUAAUACCCUAUAAUUUCCUCAGAUGUCAUCUGACGAGGAAUAAAGAUUUAUCGGUUGUGGAUGGGGAUGCGUCUGAGUAGCUUGUUGGCGGGGUAACGGCCCACCAAGGCAACGAUCAGUAGGGGUUCUGAGAGGAAGGUCCCCCACAUUGGAACUGAGACACGGUCCAAACUCCUACGGGAGGCAGCAGUGAGGAAUAUUGGUCAAUGGGCGGAAGCCUGAACCAGCCAAGUAGCGUGCAGGAUGACGGCCCUAUGGGUUGUAAACUGCUUCUAUACAGGAAUAAAGUUAGCCACGUGUGGUUAUUUGUAGGUACUGUAUGAAUAAGGACCGGCUAAUUCCGUGCCAGCCGCCGCCGUAA
This 506-nucleotide ribosomal RNA is filed under the name uncultured bacterium. RNAcentral's name for it is "partial 16S ribosomal RNA". It matches the Rfam family "Bacterial small subunit ribosomal RNA", at positions 28 to 523 of the family's 1533-position model. The record is from RNAcentral.